AUUGAACGCUGGCGGCAGGCCUAACACAUGCAAGUCGAACGCGUGGCGGACGGGUGAGUAGUGUCUGGGAAACUGCCCGAUGGGGGGGUAUCUCUACUGGAAACGGUCGAUAAUACCGCAUACUCUCGGAUGUGCCCAGAGUGGAUUAGCUAGUGGGUGGGGUAACGGCUCACCUAGGCGACGAUCCAUAGCUGGUCUGAGAGGAUGACCAGCCACACUGGAACUGAGACACGGUCCAGACUCCUACGGGAGGCAGCAGUGGGGAAUAUUUCACAAUGGGCGCAAGCCUGAUGCAGCCAUGCCGCGUGUAUGAAGAAGGCCUUCGGGUUGUAAAGUACUUUCAGCGAGGAGGCGUUACUCGCAGAAGAAGCACCGGCUAACUCCGUGCCAGCCGCCGCGGUAAUAC
Molecule: ribosomal RNA, 406 nt
Filed under: uncultured bacterium
Lineage: Bacteria
Description: partial 16S ribosomal RNA
Rfam family: Bacterial small subunit ribosomal RNA
Source: RNAcentral